Molecule: ribosomal RNA, 253 nt
Filed under: uncultured bacterium
Lineage: Bacteria
Description: partial 16S ribosomal RNA
Rfam family: Bacterial small subunit ribosomal RNA
Source: RNAcentral
UACAGAGGGUGCGAGCGUUAAUCGGAAUUACUGGGCGUAAAGCGUGCGUAGACGGUUAUUUAAGUCGGGUGUGAAAGCCCCGGGCUCAACCUGGGAAUUGCAUUCGAGACUGAAUAGCUAGGGUACGGUAGAGGGAAGUGGAAUUUCCGGUGUAGCGGUGAAAUGCGUAGAUAUCUGGAGGAACACCGGUGGCGAAGGCGGCAUCCUGGACCGGCAUUGACGCUGAGGCGCGAAAGCUAGGGGAGCAAACGGG